AUACUUACCCGGCAGGGGAGAUAUCGUGAUCACGAAGGUGGUUUUCUCAGGGCGAGGCUUAUCCAUUGCACUCCGGAUGUGCUGACCCCUGCAAUUUCCCCAGAUAAAAAAAAGAAAGAAAGAAAC
RNAcentral lists this small nuclear RNA (126 nucleotides) under Saimiri boliviensis boliviensis (Bolivian squirrel monkey). RNAcentral's name for it is "U1 spliceosomal RNA (ENSSBOG00000013494.1)". It matches the Rfam family "U1 spliceosomal RNA", at positions 1 to 115 of the family's 166-position model. From Rfam's summary of the family: U1 is a small nuclear RNA (snRNA) component of the spliceosome (involved in pre-mRNA splicing). Its 5' end forms complementary base pairs with the 5' splice junction, thus defining the 5' donor site of an intron. The record is from RNAcentral. Lineage: Eukaryota; Metazoa; Chordata; Mammalia; Primates; Cebidae.